This is a non-coding RNA of Hypoxylon sp. NC0597, 89 nucleotides long. The record is from the annotation of a GenBank genome assembly. NCBI's taxonomy places the organism in Eukaryota, Fungi, Ascomycota, Sordariomycetes, Xylariales, Hypoxylaceae.
GCCCGACUAGCUCACCGGUAGAGCGCCUCACUAGUAUCUUCCCUUCAGAGAUAAUGAGGAGGCAACAGGUUCGACUCCUGUGUUGGGCA